CAGGAUGUCAGAAACCGAACAUAACCUGCAACUAUCUCCUGCUCUAACAUACGCCUUUUCUCCCUCCAAGGAAGAAGCCACCUUCAAAAAUAAUUAUGUAAAUAAAAUCCCUUACAAAUGUCUCUUCUCGAGAAGGCAGUUUGGCUAAGCAGCAAAAUAUCCGAUGUUAUGAGCUUAACUACAUACUGUGGAUUCAUCGUGUUAAAAAAGAAGCCUCCCUGGAUGAUUUUAGCUCAGUCUCUGAUUCUCUGUGGCUUGAGGAAACGCAGAAGUAUUCCUGGCCGGCUGAUUUAGUAACGGAAUUUCUGUAAACCGUUCCUGAUCCUCUGCUCCCAGUGAAGCUGUUUUGGGACAGAGCUACUUCCAUUCCAGGAAGGAUUAGUUUCAAGACUGAAUACCAGAAGCAGCCAAACAACUCAGCUUGGGAUAUGAGGCUUCAUCAUCCCUGCUGCUCAUGUGUCCCCUAGCAAAGCCAGUCUGGAAAAGGAGAUGAGAUGCCACGUGAAGGACAGCAGGGCGGAUGAGCAGCACUCCCUAGAUGACCCCGACCUCUAUGCCAAAGCUCAGUGUUUCAAAGGAUGCUGCUGUAAGCAUGCCAUAUAUACGUCUUCCUUUUGGUUUACAUUUCUUGUGCUAACAUAAUCAUGUUAAAAAUCAUUACAAAACAGAUGCAUUAUGUACUUAAUUACUAUGAAUCUCACAGAUAGAUGAGCAGAAAAUCAAAUUGAGCAUGAAAGUGGAGCAUUGGAAAAGGUGUAGUAGUCUAAGAGGUCAAUUUAGGACCAAGACUUGGCCAGCUAGAAUGUCAGGUUUGCCCUGUGCCUAAGAAGCUACAAACAUGCUGCCUAUCCAAGAAUGUCUAUCCAGGCCAGAAAAAAGAAACAAUUUCAAGACAUAUUAACACAAAGGAGAAUUUUUGGUUGUUCGGGAGGACAAGCUUUGCCAGGUUAAUGAGAGACAGAAUUUUGCUGUUAGCAAAGCAAAUAAUCAUAUAUCUGAUUUAAGUUACAUAUUGUCAUAAAAAUUUCAAUGAGACCCUCUGCGGCUCCCUAAUUUCAGGCUUUGUGGCUAUUAACACUWAUUCUAGUAACAAAAUUCAAAACUUGGGAAAAAAAUCAUAGAAAAUUUUGAAUAGAAGAGGUGGAAAUAUUUGGACAAUUGAGAAAUUGUGCUGAAACUCUGAAUAUAUUUCUCCAACUAAUUUUUUUCUUGUCAUCUCUGUGUACAGAUAAAUUAGGUGCAUGUGUAAGUACCUUGCUGAAUAGUUUCUCUCUUAGGGGCAAUACGCUCCUAAUUGUUUUGCAGAGUGCUGUGUAGAUUCCUGUAAUUACUAUUUUAUAUGUUGAUUCAAUAUUUUAAGCCAUGUUAAAGGCACCUUAGUUUUGGGAUAUGUCUGUUUUAGGUGUUUUGUAAUAAAUGUGAAUACCUGAAUACA
This 1435-nucleotide long non-coding RNA is filed under the name Dromaius novaehollandiae (emu). RNAcentral describes it as "lncRNA (ENSDNVG00000016415.1)". Lineage: Eukaryota; Metazoa; Chordata; Aves; Casuariiformes; Dromaiidae. The record is from RNAcentral.